Molecule: ribosomal RNA, 253 nt
Filed under: uncultured bacterium
Lineage: Bacteria
Description: partial 16S ribosomal RNA
Rfam family: Bacterial small subunit ribosomal RNA
Source: RNAcentral
UACGGAGGGUGCAAGCGUUGCUCGGAAUCAUUGGGCGUAAAGCGCGUGUAGGCGGCCAACUAAGUCUGAUGUGAAAUCCCAGGGCUCAACCCUGGAACUGCAUCGGAUACUGGAUGGCUAGAGGAUGAGAGAGGAUGGUGGAAUUCCUGGUGUAGCGGUGAAAUGCGCAGAUAUCAGGAGGAACACCGGUGGCGAAGGCGGGUCUCUGGGCCGAUACUGACGCUGAGGAGCGAAAGCGUGGGGAGCGAACAGG